RNAcentral lists this ribosomal RNA (428 nucleotides) under uncultured archaeon. RNAcentral describes it as "bacterial SSU rRNA". It matches the Rfam family "Archaeal small subunit ribosomal RNA", at positions 474 to 903 of the family's 1478-position model. The record is from RNAcentral.
UACCUGCAGCUCAAGUGGUGACCGCUAUUAUUGGGCCUAAAACGUUCGUAGCCGGUCUAUUAAAUGCCUGGGUAAAUCGGACCGCUUAACGGUUCGAAUUCCGGGUAGACUGAUAGACUUGAGACCGGGAGAGGCUAGAGGUACUCCUGGGGUAGAGGUGAAAUUCUGUAAUCCUGGGGGGACCACCAGUGGCGAAGGCGUCUAGCUAGAACGGGUCUGACGGUGAGGGACGAAGCCCUGGGGCGCAAACCGGAUUAGAUACCCGGGUAGUCCAGGGUGUAAACGCUGCUUGCUUGAUGUUAGUUGGGCUCCGAGCCCGAUUAGUGUCGGAGAGAAGUUGUUAAGCAAGCUGCCUGGGAAGUACGGUCGCAAGACUGAAACUUAAGGAAUUGGCGGGGGAGCACAGCAACGGGUGGAGCGUGCGGUUU